GGCAUAGCUCAGUGGUAGAGUGCAUGCUUAGAAUGCACAAGGUCCUGGGUUCAAGCCCCAGAACUGCCA
This 69-nucleotide transfer RNA is filed under the name Camelus bactrianus (Bactrian camel). It matches the Rfam family "tRNA". From Rfam's summary of the family: Transfer RNA (tRNA) molecules are approximately 80 nucleotides in length. Their secondary structure includes four short double-helical elements and three loops (D, anti-codon, and T loops). Further hydrogen bonds mediate the characteristic L-shaped molecular structure. tRNAs have two regions of fundamental functional importance: the anti-codon, which is responsible for specific mRNA codon recognition, and the 3' end, to which the tRNAs corresponding amino acid is attached (by aminoacyl-tRNA synthetases). tRNAs cope with the degeneracy of the genetic code in two manners: having more than one tRNA (with a specific anti-codon) for a particular amino acid; and 'wobble' base-pairing, i.e. permitting non-standard base-pairing at the 3rd anti-codon position. The record is from Rfam by way of RNAcentral. Lineage: Eukaryota; Metazoa; Chordata; Mammalia; Artiodactyla; Camelidae. RNAcentral also lists the same sequence under 1 other name.